Molecule: ribosomal RNA, 513 nt
Filed under: uncultured bacterium
Lineage: Bacteria
Description: partial 16S ribosomal RNA
Rfam family: Bacterial small subunit ribosomal RNA
Source: RNAcentral
GACGAACGCUGGCGGCAUGCCUAAUACAUGCAAGUCGAGCGAACAGAUGAAGUGCUUGCACUUCUGACGUUAGCGGCGAACGGGUGAGUAACACGUAAGGAAUCUACCUAUAAGCGGGGGAUAACAUUCGGAAACGGGUGCUAAUACCGCAUAAUAUCUUCUUCCGCAUGGAAGAAGAUUGAAAGACGGCUCUGCUGUCACUUAUAGAUGACCUUGCGGUGCAUUAGUUAGUUGGUGGGGUAACGGCCUACCAAGACGAUGAUGCAUAGCCGACCUGAGAGGGCGAUGGGCCAAAUUGGGACUGAGACACGGCCCAAACUCGCACGGAAGGCAGAAGUAGGGAAUCUUCCGCGAUGGGCGAAAGCCUGACGGAGCAAUACGGAGUGAGUGAAGAAGGCCUUCGGGUCGUAAAACUCUGUUAUAAGAGAAGAACAAAUUGUAGAGUAACUGCUACAGUCUUGACGGUAUCUUAUCAGAAAGCCACGGCUAACUACGUGCCAGCAGCCGCCGUAA